UACAGAGGGUGCAAGCGUUGUUCGGACUCAUUGGGCGUAAAGGGCGUGUAGGCGGUUUGCUAAGUCAUGUGUGAAAGCCCUCGGCUUAACCGAGGAACGACGCAUGAAACUGGCAAGCUAGAGUACCAAAGAGGGGGGUGGAAUUCCCGGUGUAGCGGUGAAAUGCGCAGAUAUCAGGAGGAACACCUAUUGCGAAGGCAGCUCGCUGGGACGUAACUGACGCUGAGACGCGAAAGCGUGGGGAGCAAACAGG
RNAcentral lists this ribosomal RNA (253 nucleotides) under uncultured bacterium. RNAcentral's name for it is "partial 16S ribosomal RNA". It matches the Rfam family "Bacterial small subunit ribosomal RNA", at positions 524 to 776 of the family's 1533-position model. The record is from RNAcentral.